Vidua macroura (Pin-tailed whydah) is the source of this 478-nucleotide long non-coding RNA. RefSeq lists it as uncharacterized. NCBI's taxonomy places the organism in Eukaryota, Metazoa, Chordata, Aves, Passeriformes, Viduidae. The transcript has 4 exons. The record is from RefSeq and is a predicted model, not a curated record.
GGCUCCCAAGAUCCAAGGAUGCCCUCUUACCUUGUUUUUUAUCCUUUCAUGGAAGCAUCUAAAGGAAAACUGGAAGCUGCAGUGAUACAUGAACAAUUCACAGCUUUCCCAGCAGGAAGAUUGGCCUCUUUACAUUGGAAGACCUCUGGUUAUGGUGUUUGCAUUUCAGAGCCUUUCCACCUAUUUUUGAUAAGCUGGGUGAAACUGAUCACACUAAAUCUUUUGGCCAAUGUUCCUCAGAAGAUGAGAGGAGAGAGGAAUGGGGCAAAAGUUCACAUUCAAUAAGGCUAUUCCUUUGUUGCACCUGGAAAGAACGCAAGAAUCCCAGUUGAUAAAAAUUGUGUUUCAUUGAAGUCAGAGGGGAACAUGAAAUCAUCAAAGGAACAGACCACAUAGAAACCCUACAAUACAAAUUAAGGAAAGGUUCUUAUCUGUCACAGCCUAAUUGGCUGGGGCCUACUGUUUUCCAUGUCAGAUG